CUGCCGCCGGCGACCGGCGCACGGGUGAGUAACACGUAUGCAACCUGGCCGUGACAGAUGGAUAACCGGGAGAAAUCCCGCCUAAUACAACAUAAUGCCGGGAGGGGACAUCCCCUGCCGGCCAAAGGGGGCGACCCCGGUCACGGAUGGGCAUGCGGCGCAUUAGGUAGUUGGUGGGGCAACGGCCCACCAAGCCGACGAUGCGUAGGGGUUCUGAGAGGAAGGUCCCCCACAUUGGAACCGAGACACGGUCCAAACUCCUACGGGAGGCAGCAG
Molecule: ribosomal RNA, 276 nt
Filed under: uncultured bacterium
Lineage: Bacteria
Description: partial 16S ribosomal RNA
Rfam family: Bacterial small subunit ribosomal RNA
Source: RNAcentral